CAGGUUAAGAACAGUUUCAGGUUAAGAACGGACCUCCGGAACGAAUUAAGUACUUAACCCGAAGUACCACUGUACACAAAUUAUAGCCAAAUUGAGCCAAAAAUAUGAAGGCAUACUGUAACACAACAUGGCAUUAGCUGCCUUUGACAUUCCUCUUGGAGUUGAUGCAAAUGACUUAUUGCCUGAUGUUGGUGUGCUUAAAAUAACACUCACUUUUCUGAAUCAUGGCUUGCAAAAUUAAAAAGCCACCAAAAAUACCAAUCAAUACAAUAUACUGUACUUAAUAGCUUCAAAAUGUAGAUUAGUCAUGCUUGUCUAAUCAGAGCUACUUUUCAAGGUGCAUUCUUGGAAAUGAAGAAAAGAAUAGAAUGUAUUUUUAAGAAAGUAGUGAAUGGAAUUUCUUAACCUAAGGUACUCUUACCUUAGGGCUUUUUUUUGGGGGGGGGUAGAAUCCAAAUAUCCUAACUGCCACUUAAAAGUUGUGUUAACUUACUAAUGGCUCACCAUAUGACUCUGGUGCUUUUUUCUCUCCAUACCACUGCAAAUGACUGGAAAUAAGAAAGAUUUACAACAGAGGUUCCUAAACCAUGGUCCGUAGACCUCCAGUGGUCCACAAGCUUCAUUCAGGUCCCACUUGUUUUAAAUGCAUUUACUGGGAUGUUCUAAGUGAUGGAUUGUCCAAAUUGGAGCUUCUUGCAUUGUAGGUUCAUAGCUGGAUGUUUUGGAAGCAAAGACAGGAAGACCAAAAGUAAUGUGUUAAAUCAGGUUCUCCAUUUUCACCAUCACUGAUGCUGAGCACAUGGGAAGCAGCUGCAUACCAGGUCAGAGUAUUUCACAGAAUCUUAGAAUUGUAGAGUUGGAAGGUAUCCCAAGGGUCAUCUAGUCCAAUGCCCUGCAAUGCCAGUAUUGCCUGCACUGGCUGGUAGUGGCUAUCCAGGGUCUUUCAUAUCACCUGCUACCUAAUCCCUUUAACUAGGGAUGUUAGGCAUUGGACUUUGGCACUUCUGCUUACAAAGCAUAUGCUGUACUACUGAGCUAUGACUCCACUCCACUCCUCUCAUCUCUCUUGCAUGCUUUUGAUGAAUCAGUGCGAGACCCACAUGGCUCCAGACAGCUCUCAUCAGAAGCCCACAUGAAACUCCAAAAGUGUUCUUGAUAAACACCUAACCUCACUCUGAGCAAGUUCCUCCCUGGCUAAAGAACAAAACCUCCUUCAACUGUUUAAAGAGUCUGAUUAAAUUUUUGCUAAUGGGAACAUAAAUAUUAUAAAGUAAAGUUGUCCGGGGAAAUGUAUAUUUAUUCUUUCUCUGUUUUUUGUGUGUCUGUGUAUAAACAAUAUGGCUUUUGUUUAUCUGUAGUAGUGCAGUUUGGCUGGUCUGUAGGACAUGAAAAAAAAUGCUGUUGAGAUUGUGCUUGAGGUCAGUGGUUUAGACCACAGUGACACCCACGUCCCCAUUUUACCAUUUUUUGAGUUCAUAGCUUUGUGGAUGACCAGCUAAAGUAAAUUUAAAAUCAGUAGCAGGCUAAGCAGAAGUCUUAUAGGUUUGCUUAUUUGUGCCGCUUUAAGCAUUGUUUACAAACAUGUCUCAUAUUAUUAAAUGAAAUCUGUUUCCCAAUAAAUGUGACAGAUGACUUUAA
Podarcis muralis (Common wall lizard) is the source of this 1638-nucleotide long non-coding RNA. RefSeq lists it as uncharacterized. NCBI's taxonomy places the organism in Eukaryota, Metazoa, Chordata, Lepidosauria, Squamata, Lacertidae. The record is from RefSeq and is a predicted model, not a curated record.